Molecule: ribosomal RNA, 235 nt
Filed under: uncultured Candidatus Saccharibacteria bacterium
Lineage: Bacteria; Candidatus Saccharimonadota
Description: partial 16S ribosomal RNA
Rfam family: Bacterial small subunit ribosomal RNA
Source: RNAcentral
UAAGCGGGUAGUGAAAUUGUGUGGCUCAACCAUACACCCAUUACCUGAACUGCUAAGCUAGAGGAUGAGAGAGGUUAUUGGAAUUCCUAGUGUAGGAGUGAAAUCCGUAGAUAUUAGGAGGAACACCGAUGGCGUAGGCAGAUAACUGGCUCAUUUCUGACACUAAGGCACGAAAGCGUGGGUAGCAAACGGGAUUAGAUACCCCGGUAGUCCACGCCGUAAACUAUGGAUGCUA